GUAGCUGCUGAGAAACACCUUCAAACGAGAGGAAAGCCUUCAUGAACGUUGAGAUCAGGACAGAUAAAUAAAGGGUCACGGGGGCGCCGGAGUCUAACCCGCUCAUGGGCGAAGGCAGGAUACGUCCUGGACCGGUCACCAGUCUGUUACAAAUGUUUCCAGAAAUGUUUUUUUUUUUUCUAUUUUUUACAGAAACCAGAAAUGCUACAAAUGGGGGUCUCUG
Oryzias melastigma (Indian medaka) is the source of this 223-nucleotide long non-coding RNA. RefSeq lists it as uncharacterized. Lineage: Eukaryota; Metazoa; Chordata; Actinopteri; Beloniformes; Adrianichthyidae. The transcript has 2 exons. The record is from RefSeq and is a predicted model, not a curated record.